Molecule: ribosomal RNA, 506 nt
Filed under: uncultured bacterium
Lineage: Bacteria
Description: partial 16S ribosomal RNA
Rfam family: Bacterial small subunit ribosomal RNA
Source: RNAcentral
AUUGAACGCUGGCGGCGGGCCUAACACAUGCAAGUCGGACGGUAGCACAGAGGAGCUUGCUCCUCGGGUGACGAGUGGCGGACGGGUGAGUAAUGUCUGGGGAUCUGCCCGAUAGAGGGGGAUAACCACUGGAAACGGUGGCUAAUACCGCAUAACGUCGCAAGACCAAAGAGGGGGACCUUCGGGCCUCUCACUAUCGGAUGAACCCAGAUGGGAUUAGCUAGUAGGCGGGGUAACGGCCCACCUAGGCGACGAUCCCUAGCUGGUCUGAGAGGAUGACCAGCCACACUGGAACUGAGACACGGUCCUGACUCCUACGGGAGGCAGCAGUGGGGAAUAUUGCACAAUGGGCGCAAGCCUGAUGCAGCCAUGCCGCGUGUAUGAAGAAGGCCUUCGGGUUGUAAAGUACUUUCAGCGGGGAGGAAGGCGAUGUGGUUAAUAACCGCGUCGAUUGACGUUACCCGCAGAAGAAGCACCGGCUAACUCCGUGCCAGCAGCCGCGGUAA